Prunus dulcis (almond) is the source of this 347-nucleotide long non-coding RNA. RefSeq lists it as uncharacterized. The transcript has 2 exons. Lineage: Eukaryota; Viridiplantae; Streptophyta; Magnoliopsida; Rosales; Rosaceae. The record is from RefSeq and is a predicted model, not a curated record.
CUCUUCCUGCUAUUUCGGUGACUCGGCCUAAUAGAUCUUCGUUUUCUACGGUUGAGGGCAACAUUAUUGGUGACCGGCAAGGGACGGCGAUGACUGGCUGGUAGCCAGCGAGGGACACGAUGGCUAGCCGGGAGGGGGAUUGUUGAUAGUGGACAUGUGGCAUAGUGUUCUUGCCUUAGAAUGAGUGGCAUUAUGUGUAAUUUUGAUAUUUUUUAAUUACAUUAUUGUGAAAUUAGGUAUUAUUUUUUGUUUAAAAUGAAAUAGUUAAAUUUGGCAUAAUGGCAUCUUUGUGUAAUUUUGAGGUUUUUCAAUGCAUGAUUGUAAAGUUACAUCCUAUUUUUUAGUCA